Long non-coding RNA from Schistocerca serialis cubense, 296 nucleotides. RefSeq lists it as uncharacterized. The record is from RefSeq and is a predicted model, not a curated record. The transcript is spliced from 3 exons. NCBI's taxonomy places the organism in Eukaryota, Metazoa, Arthropoda, Insecta, Orthoptera, Acrididae.
UGAGUGAACCUCUUUGCUGUUUGUUUUCUCUUCACGACGAUAUGAAAAUCUUUGGUUAGAAAAGAAAAUAAUGCUGUCGUUGGAUGCGGCUUUAUUUUGCGCCACGUAUCGGAAGUUAGGCUUGUGAAGCCUUGGUGUUAUAGGUUAACUAGUAACGAUGAUCACAGACGUUCAGUUAGCUGUGUUCGCCAACGUUCUGGGUGUGACACUGUUUCUGCUGGUUGUUCUAUACCAUUACAUUUCUGCAAACCAUUCGAAAUCCUGACUACUGCGAUCAGGUGAUGAUUACGACAGCG